RNAcentral lists this long non-coding RNA (262 nucleotides) under Amborella trichopoda. RNAcentral's name for it is "long non-coding RNA (ATRI_LNC000821)". Lineage: Eukaryota; Viridiplantae; Streptophyta; Magnoliopsida; Amborellales; Amborellaceae. The record is from RNAcentral.
UCUAUUCUUCUUUAUUUUUUUGACAUUUGUUUUAUUUCUCUUUGUUUCAAAAAUAUAUUUUUCCUAUAUUUAAACCGAUUUUAUUCAUCCCCACUGUUCGCAUUCUAACUCUUCUAUUUUGGCUUAACAGAGAGAAUGAAGAAGUAAAGGGAUGUUUUGGUAGAAUAUUUCUCCCGACUUUUUUGAUGGUCCCAUAACCCUUCAUGUAAAUCAAUCGAUGGAGCUUUUCUACUUUCGAUCCCCGUGCUGCCUUCCCCACCCC